UAAAGAAUGAAGCCUUUAACUCUAUGAACCAGUCCAAGCUAUUAACAGAGCUUCAUGUUGCUCAGCAAGAACCACAUAAUGGGUUUUCUUCAGUUGACAAAAGGGAUAAGAACGAUUUCACAUAAAGUAAAAUGGCAGCUGAAUGAUUUCUAAAGUGAUAAAAAGAUGCGAGAGCUUAUGCAUACAAUGCAAAACCAUCUGAGAUGUCCUUUGUCUAAGCAUGCAAAGAAGGCAUUACAGCUUCCUGCUUUAGCACCUUCAUGUGGUUUAAUUCACAAAAUUCUGCCUAAAUUGAUAUUCAACUGAAAGUCAAUACUGUUUUCAUUAAAAUAAAUGUUAAAGAAAAAAAGAAGGUAGAUUUACUUUUCGAGCAUAAGUGCCAUCUGUGAAUCUACAUUAUUAACAUAACAUCUGUGAAUCUCCAUUAUUAACAUAUUCUAGAAUAAAUUAAUACAUCAAACAUAUUGCUUGAUAAAAUAUAAUGAUAUAGUAAUUGUUUUCCUGCCAUAUCAAUAUGUUUAUAUUUAUUUGAUUAGAGUUAUACUUAUAAUUAUUAUUAACAUUCCUUUUUAUUGUUAUUUAUUUAUUUAUUAUUGUCGUGUUACAAAAUAAAUAUUUAUUUACAGGAUUUUAAAAUUUAUAUACACUAAUUAUGAGCAUGGAAGUUACAUUGCGCAAAACAAUCUCAUUUUCAGCUAUACUUUCAUGACACACAAAGUGAGGUUGAGAACAAAAUUAACGUAAUGCAAAAUCAAGUUUUGUCAGAAGCAGUUGUACAAAUGCUCAUGAAAAUUUUAGAGAUCAACCCGUAUGCAAAAUUCUUUCGAAGAUUGAAAGAUUAUCCUUCAAUUUCAUGCUCAUUCCGGCGACAGCCAUAGAAUAAAGCAUUACGAUGGAUGUUAUGAUCCAUUGCAAUAUCCACUUCUUUUUCCAAUGGGCGAAAUAGGUUGGCAUCAAAACAUUAGAAAGAUUGAUCCAUCAUCUUUGGUUCGUAACACAAAUUCGGUUUCUACUUCUACUUCAUUAGCAAGAACCAUAACUGCAGGCGAUAUUAUCUCCAAUGAAGAAUAAGGUAUCUCUAUUAACUUUUUAUAAAUUGAUUGAUGAUUAAAUUAGUUAAUUAUCAUAUUUUAAAUUUUUAUAAUGUUUAUAAUUGAUUUUACUAAUUUGAAUUGUAGUAUUAAACUUUUGGACUAAUCUAUUAAUUUUAUUCUUCUAAAGUUAUAUUAUUCCAAUCAUGAGAUUAUAACUCACUAUGAGUAGAGAACAUUCUUUUCAUUCCCACCCAUUAACUGUAGCAUACUAAUCAUAUAAAUAAUAAUAUAAAUUGAUUUUCAGAAUUUUACAAUUACAAAUUGCAAAUAUUUAUGCUCCACCUUAGCUUAAGGCUAUUUACUUUUCUCAUUAUGCAUAUGUCUUAAUGAAAUCCCUACUCAAUCAUAAUCUAUAAAUCCUGCCUAUGAAUAAGCUGAAUCGAUAAAGUGUUAAUUUGUAUUUAAAGUGUUUAGAGGCACAAAAGUCUGGAAAUUGAUAAUGGUUGACAAAGAGGUAAGUCACAAAU
Molecule: long non-coding RNA, 1561 nt
Organism: Salvia miltiorrhiza (redroot sage)
Lineage: Eukaryota; Viridiplantae; Streptophyta; Magnoliopsida; Lamiales; Lamiaceae
Exons: 3
Source: RefSeq, a predicted model, not a curated record